Non-coding RNA from Micromonospora humi, 94 nucleotides. The record is from Rfam. Lineage: Bacteria; Bacillati; Actinomycetota; Actinomycetes; Micromonosporales; Micromonosporaceae.
GCCGGUGUGAAACCGGCGCUGUCCCGCAACUGUGAUGCCCCGUACGCGCGGCGUCGGCCUCCCGCCGGCGCCGACGGACGUGGGACGAGCCAGG